Molecule: ribosomal RNA, 2930 nt
Filed under: Bacillus amyloliquefaciens
Lineage: Bacteria; Bacillati; Bacillota; Bacilli; Caryophanales; Bacillaceae
Description: bacterial LSU rRNA
Rfam family: Bacterial large subunit ribosomal RNA
Source: RNAcentral
CGGUUAAGUUAGAAAGGGCGCACGGUGGAUGCCUUGGCACUAGGAGCCGAUGAAGGACGGGACGAACACCGAUAUGCUUCGGGGAGCUGUAAGCAAGCUUUGAUCCGGAGAUUUCCGAAUGGGGAAACCCACCACUCGUAAUGGAGUGGUAUCCAUAUCUGAAUACAUAGGAUAUGAGAAGGCAGACCCGGGAACUGAAACAUCUAAGUACCCGGAGGAAGAGAAAGCAAAUGCGAUUCCCUGAGUAGCGGCGAGCGAAACGGGACCAGCCCAAACCAAGAGGCUUGCCUCUUGGGGUUGUAGGACACUCUGUACGGAGUUACAAAGGAACGAGGUAGAUGAAGAGGUCUGGAAAGGCCCGCCAUAGGAGGUAACAGCCCUGUAGUCAAAACUUCGUUCUCUCCUGAGUGGAUCCUGAGUACGGCGGAACACGUGAAAUUCCGUCGGAAUCCGGGAGGACCAUCUCCCAAGGCUAAAUACUCCCUAGUGACCGAUAGUGAACCAGUACCGUGAGGGAAAGGUGAAAAGCACCCCGGAAGGGGAGUGAAAGAGAUCCUGAAACCGUGUGCCUACAAGUAGUCAGAGCCCGUUAACGGGUGAUGGCGUGCCUUUUGUAGAAUGAACCGGCGAGUUACGAUCCCGUGCAAGGUUAAGCAGAAGAUGCGGAGCCGCAGCGAAAGCGAGUCUGAAUAGGGCGAAUUGAGUACGUGGUCGUAGACCCGAAACCAGGUGAUCUACCCAUGUCCAGGGUGAAGUUCAGGUAACACUGAAUGGAGGCCCGAACCCACGCACGUUGAAAAGUGCGGGGAUGAGGUGUGGGUAGGGGUGAAAUGCCAAUCGAACCUGGAGAUAGCUGGUUCUCUCCGAAAUAGCUUUAGGGCUAGCCUCAAGGUAAGAGUCUCGGAGGUAGAGCACUGAUUGGACUAGGGGCCCCUACCGGGUUACCGAAUUCAGUCAAACUCCGAAUGCCGAUGACUUAUCCUUGGGAGUCAGACUGCGAGUGAUAAGAUCCGUAGUCGAAAGGGAAACAGCCCAGACCGCCAGCUAAGGUCCCAAAGUAUACGUUAAGUGGAAAAGGAUGUGGAGUUGCUUAGACAACCAGGAUGUUGGCUUAGAAGCAGCCACCAUUUAAAGAGUGCGUAAUAGCUCACUGGUCGAGUGACUCUGCGCCGAAAAUGUACCGGGCUAAACGUAUCACCGAAGCUGCGGACUGUUCUUCGAACAGUGGUAGGAGAGCGUUCUAAGGGCUGUGAAGCAAGACCGGAAGGACUUGUGGAGCGCUUAGAAGUGAGAAUGCCGGUAUGAGUAGCGAAAGAGGGUGAGAAUCCCCUCCACCGAAUGCCUAAGGUUUCCUGAGGAAGGCUCGUCCGCUCAGGGUUAGUCGGGACCUAAGCCGAGGCCGAAAGGCGUAGGCGAUGGAUAACAGGUUGAUAUUCCUGUACCACCUCCUCACCAUUUGAGCAAUGGGGGGACGCAGGAGGAUAGGGUAAGCGCGGUAUUGGAUAUCCGCGUCCAAGCAGUUAGGCUGGGAAAUAGGCAAAUCCGUUUCCCGUGAAGGCUGAGCUGUGAUGGCGAGCGAAUUAUAGUAGCGAAGUUCCUGAUUCCACACUGCCAAGAAAAGCCUCUAGCGAGGUGAGAGGUGCCCGUACCGCAAACCGACACAGGUAGGCGAGGAGAGAAUCCUAAGGUGAUCGAGAGAACUCUCGUUAAGGAACUCGGCAAAAUGACCCCGUAACUUCGGGAGAAGGGUGCUCUGUUAGGGUGCAAGCCCGAGAGAGCCGCAGUGAAUAGGCCCAGGCGACUGUUUAGCAAAAACACAGGUCUCUGCGAAGCCGUAAGGCGAAGUAUAGGGGCUGACGCCUGCCCGGUGCUGGAAGGUUAAGAGGAGCGCUUAGCGUAAGCGAAGGUGCGAAUUGAAGCCCCAGUAAACGGCGGCCGUAACUAUAACGGUCCUAAGGUAGCGAAAUUCCUUGUCGGGUAAGUUCCGACCCGCACGAAAGGCGCAACGAUCUGGGCACUGUCUCAACGAGAGACUCGGUGAAAUUAUAGUACCUGUGAAGAUGCAGGUUACCCGCGACAGGACGGAAAGACCCCGUGGAGCUUUACUGCAGCCUGAUAUUGAAUGUUGGUACAGCUUGUACAGGAUAGGUAGGAGCCUUGGAAACCGGAGCGCCAGCUUCGGUGGAGGCAUCGGUGGGAUACUACCCUGGCUGUAUUGACCUUCUAACCCGCCGCCCUUAUCGGGCGGGGAGACAGUGUCAGGUGGGCAGUUUGACUGGGGCGGUCGCCUCCUAAAAGGUAACGGAGGCGCCCAAAGGUUCCCUCAGAAUGGUUGGAAAUCAUUCGCAGAGUGUAAAGGCACAAGGGAGCUUGACUGCGAGACCUACAAGUCGAGCAGGGACGAAAGUCGGGCUUAGUGAUCCGGUGGUUCCGCAUGGAAGGGCCAUCGCUCAACGGAUAAAAGCUACCCCGGGGAUAACAGGCUUAUCUCCCCCAAGAGUCCACAUCGACGGGGAGGUUUGGCACCUCGAUGUCGGCUCAUCGCAUCCUGGGGCUGUAGUCGGUCCCAAGGGUUGGGCUGUUCGCCCAUUAAAGCGGUACGCGAGCUGGGUUCAGAACGUCGUGAGACAGUUCGGUCCCUAUCCGUCGCGGGCGCAGGAAAUUUGAGAGGAGCUGUCCUUAGUACGAGAGGACCGGGAUGGACGCACCGCUGGUGUACCAGUUGUUCUGCCAAGGGCAUCGCUGGGUAGCUAUGUGCGGACGGGAUAAGUGCUGAAAGCAUCUAAGCAUGAAGCCCCCCUCAAGAUGAGAUUUCCCAUUCCGCAAGGAAGUAAGAUCCCUGAAAGAUGAUCAGGUUGAUAGGUCUGAGGUGGAAGUGUGGCGACACAUGGAGCUGACAGAUACUAAUCGAUCGAGGACUUAACCAAUUU